Dryococelus australis is the source of this 70-nucleotide non-coding RNA. Lineage: Eukaryota; Metazoa; Arthropoda; Insecta; Phasmatodea; Phasmatidae. The record is from the annotation of a GenBank genome assembly.
GGCAAGGUGGGCGAGUGGUUUAAGGCGUCAGGUUUAGGCCCGGAUGCGCGAUUCGAAUCUCGUCCUGUCA